GUGGAAAACAUGGUUGGGGUGGCAGGACCAUGGAAGCAACCCACAUGCCCAAUAGGCAAUAAGGGAGGAUGCUGACAGCAUGUCAAGAACCCCAUGACAGCAUGGGAGGUACCCUACUUUCCAUACCAUAUUCUUAUUCCCAUACCUGUAGGAGAAUAUUGACAUUUAUUAACAUUUUGUGGGUUGGGAAGGGAAUCCUAAUAUAAGUGAGAAAAAAUGAAAUGAGCUAGUGAGCUGGGGAUAGAGUUCAGUAAUAAAACACUUGCUCAUCACAGGGCAUGAAGUGAAGAUAUUUUUAAUAAAAAAGUGGAUAGUUAUUUUUACUCUGAAAUGUUUACUUGACCAUUUAAUGACAUCUUCAAGUAUAUACAAAAUCAAAUAAACAGCACACAUGCUUAAUGCAGUGAAUAUCCAUUCUGGUGUGUAUUCGUGGUAGUGUGGUGAGUCUGUAGACAUGCUGAGGUAUUAUGGGAAGCUCUCAGCCCUCCACAGUUGACUUUCAAAGAAAGAGGUUCAGUUGAAGAUGGUUCAGUGAAAAUACCAGAAUCACAUAUACAGGAGCACUGUGCAUACAUCCUUGGUAAUAUUAUAGAAAGGAAACACCAAAAUCAUUCAGCUAUAUGCAGCCUUUGGAAUGUGGCAGAAAUAAAACACCAGAAUCAUGUAAAAGCAACUAACCUUGGGAAUGUGGCAGAAAGAGAAGCCAAACAUUCCAUGGGAAGUGGACAAGCACACUCAGGAACAGUAAGUGGAUUGCUUAUGUAGUAACAAGACUUACUUUCUCAGACCUGCUGUUUGAAGAUAAAAAUUGGAAAACUCUUUAGUUUAACCAGUCUGCAAAGUUGUAGAAGACAAAAAUGUGUUCCAGAAGAAUCUGAGUGGUAUUGAUGACUUUCUCCAACUCCACCAGAACAGACUUCUAUGCAGAAGAGGAAGCAGAAAGAUUUUAAGAGCCAGAAGUGGUGGGUGACUCCAGGAUGAUGGACAUAUGAACACGCAGUGAUUGUGACACCGUGCAGAAAACCUGCAGUUUCAAACCAGACAAAAUCCCAUUACUGAGAAGAAGGAAUGGACAUGAAGCCCUGCCCCCACUAACAAAGAAGGGCUUGAAGAUUUAUGAUGAUCUAACCCACAGGUGUGUGCAGUGAAAGAUUGCUUGAAUAAGACAGCACCGACUGAUAUUUUUCCUUAUUGUCAUAAAUGUGGAUUAAAAGGCCUUAAUAAAUUUUAUUUUCAACAUUGAUAACUCUUAAUUUAAUCAUUAAUAUUGAUCAUCACACAUGUCAAGGACCUAAAGGAAGUAAGGCCAACAAGUGUUUUUGCAUUCAUAGAAAACUGCUUGUAACCUUCCACAAUGCAGAAGCCUCAGGUCUAUUUCAUCAUAAGCAGAGUCCUACCUGCUGCAGGCUCCACUUAGAAGAACUUGUGGACUUUCCAUAGGUGGUGGUGGUGAUACCUGAAAAAGUAGUUUGACACACAUUAAUAUUCUGUAAAAAUGAAAUAAACACCAUUAAAG
RNAcentral lists this long non-coding RNA (1516 nucleotides) under Cricetulus griseus (Chinese hamster). RNAcentral's name for it is "lncRNA (ENSCGRG00015034233.1)". The record is from RNAcentral. Lineage: Eukaryota; Metazoa; Chordata; Mammalia; Rodentia; Cricetidae.